RNAcentral lists this ribosomal RNA (490 nucleotides) under uncultured bacterium. Its description in RNAcentral is "partial 16S ribosomal RNA". It matches the Rfam family "Bacterial small subunit ribosomal RNA", at positions 29 to 505 of the family's 1533-position model. The record is from RNAcentral.
AGUGAACGCUGGCGGUAGGCCUAACACAUGCAAGUCGAACGGCAGCACAGUAAGAGCUUGCUCUUACGGGUGGCGAGUGGCGGACAGGUGAGGAAUACAUCGGAAUCUACUUUUUCGUGGGGGAUAACGUAGGGAAACUUACGCUAAUACCGCAUACGACCUACGGGUGAAAGCAGGGGAUCUUCGGACCUUGCGCGAUUGAAUGAGCCGAUGUCGGAUUAGCUAGUUGGCGGGGUAAAGGCCCACCAAGGCGACGAUCCGUAGCUGGUCUGAGAGGAUGAUCAGCCACACUGGAACUGAGACACGGUCCAGACUCCUACGGGAGGCAGCAGUGGGGAAUAUUGGACAAUGGGCGCAAGCCUGAUCCAGCCAUACUGCGUGGGUGAAGAAGGCCUUCGGGUUGGAAAGCCCUUUUGUUGGGAAAGAAAAGCAGCAGGUUAAUACCCCGCUGUUCUGACGGUACCCAAAGAAUAAGCACCGGCUAACUUCG